UUAUGAAAGAUUAACUUCUGCGAAAGCAUCUGCCAAGGAUGUUUUCAUUAAUCAAGAACGAAAGUUAGGGGAUCGAAGACGAUCAGAUACCGUCGUAGUCUUAACCAUAAACGAUGCCGACCAGCGAUUAGGAGACGUUGAAUACAAAACACCACCAUCGGUGCGGUCGUCCUUGGCGUCGGUCUUUCGGGGCCGGCGCGGGGACGGCUUAGCCCGGUGGCACCGGUGAAUGACUCCCCUAGCAGCUUGUGAGAA
RNAcentral lists this ribosomal RNA (255 nucleotides) under Acanthamoeba genotype T4. Its description in RNAcentral is "partial 18S ribosomal RNA". It matches the Rfam family "Eukaryotic small subunit ribosomal RNA", at positions 926 to 1096 of the family's 1831-position model. Lineage: Eukaryota; Discosea; Longamoebia; Acanthamoebidae. The record is from RNAcentral.